CCUCUCACAAAUGAUGAUAUCAUCACUUAUAUUCUUGCUGGACUUGGCCAGGAGUAUGAUUCCCUGGCCUCCAUAAUUUCCUCACGGCUUGAUCCUGUCAGCUUGGAGGAACUCUUUUCUCUGCUUCUCAUCUAUGAAU
Molecule: non-coding RNA, 139 nt
Organism: Populus trichocarpa (black cottonwood)
Lineage: Eukaryota; Viridiplantae; Streptophyta; Magnoliopsida; Malpighiales; Salicaceae
Source: Rfam